UACGUAGGCGGAUAAAUAAGUCAGUGGUGAAAUCUUUCGGCUCAACCGGGAAACUGCCAUUGAUACUGUUUAUCUUGAGUUCGGUAGAGGUAGGCGGAAUGUGUAAUGUAGCGGUGAAAUGCUUAGAUAUUACACAGAACACCAAUUGCGUAGGCAGCUUACUACGCCGACACUGACGCUGAGGCACGAAAGCGUGGGGAGCGAACAGGAUUAGAUACCCUGGUAGUCC
RNAcentral lists this ribosomal RNA (229 nucleotides) under uncultured bacterium. RNAcentral's name for it is "partial 16S ribosomal RNA". It matches the Rfam family "Bacterial small subunit ribosomal RNA", at positions 568 to 796 of the family's 1533-position model. The record is from RNAcentral.